Molecule: ribosomal RNA, 240 nt
Filed under: uncultured bacterium
Lineage: Bacteria
Description: partial 16S ribosomal RNA
Rfam family: Bacterial small subunit ribosomal RNA
Source: RNAcentral
UGGCGAACGGGUGAGUAACGCGUGAGGAACCUGCCUCAAAGAGGGGGACAACAGUUGGAAACGACUGCUAAUACCGCAUAAGCCCACGACCUGGCAUCGGGUUGAGGGAAAAGGAGCAAUCCGCUUUGAGAUGGCCUCGCGUCCGAUUAGCUAGUUGGUGAGGUAACGGCCCACCAAGGCAACGAUCGGUAGCCGGACUGAGAGGUUGAACGGCCACACUGGGACUGAGACACGGCCCAG